This 472-nucleotide ribosomal RNA is filed under the name uncultured bacterium. RNAcentral's name for it is "bacterial SSU rRNA". It matches the Rfam family "Bacterial small subunit ribosomal RNA", at positions 355 to 825 of the family's 1533-position model. The record is from RNAcentral.
UGGGGAAUAUUGGACAAUGGGCGCAAGCCUGAUCCAGCCAUGCCGCGUGCGGGAAGAAGGCCUUCGGGUUGUAAACCGCUUUUGUCAGGGAAGAAACGCUCUGGGCUAAUACCCUGGGGUAAUGACGGUACCUGCAGAAGAAGCACCGGCUAACUACGUGCCAGCAGCCGCGGUAAUACGUAGGGACCAAGCGUUGUUCGGAUUUACUGGGCGUAAAGGGCGCGUAGGCGGCAAUUCAAGUCAUCUGUGAAAUCUCCGGGCUUAACUCGGAACGGUCAGAUGAUACUGCUUUGCUAGAGUGCAGAAGGGGCAAUCGGAAUUCUUGGUGUAGCGGUGAAAUGCGUAGAUAUCAAGAGGAACACCUGAGGUGAAGACGGGUUGCUGGGCUGACACUGACGCUGAGGCGCGAAAGCCAGGGGAGCAAACGGGAUUAGAUACCCGAGUAGUCCCUGAGCGGGCUGGCAAGGCGCAU